RNAcentral lists this ribosomal RNA (450 nucleotides) under uncultured bacterium. Its description in RNAcentral is "partial 16S ribosomal RNA". It matches the Rfam family "Bacterial small subunit ribosomal RNA", at positions 354 to 796 of the family's 1533-position model. The record is from RNAcentral.
GUGGGGAAUCUUCCACAAUGGACGAAAGUCUGAUGGAGCAACGCCGCGUGAGUGAAGAAGGGUUUCGGCUCGUAAAGCUCUGUUGUCGGGGACGAAUGUGCAGUAUUUGAAUAAAGUAGUGCAAUGACGGUACCUGACGAGGAAGCCACGGCUAACUACGUGCCAGCAGCCGCGGUAAUACGUAGGUGGCAAGCGUUGUCCGGAAUUAUUGGGCGUAAAGGGAGCGCAGGCGGGAAGGUAAGUCAGUCUUAAAAGUGCGGGGCUCAACCCCGUGAUGGGAUCGAAACUAUCUUUCUUGAGUGCAGGAGAGGAAAGUGGAAUUCCUAGUGUAGCGGUGAAAUGCGUAGAUAUUAGGAGGAACACCAGUGGCGAAGGCGACUUUCUGGACUGUAACUGACGCUCAUGCACGAAAGCGUGGGGAGCAAACAGGAUUAGAUACCCUGGUAGUCC